RNAcentral lists this unclassified non-coding RNA (234 nucleotides) under plant metagenome. RNAcentral's name for it is "partial contains small subunit ribosomal RNA, internal transcribed spacer 1, and 5.8S ribosomal RNA". The record is from RNAcentral.
UUUCCGUAGGUGAACCUGCGGAAGGAUCAUUAAUGUGUUUGGGCCUCACGGCUCUUCAUUCCGACGCUGUGCGCCUUCGGGCUGCACGCUGAGGGAGCAUAUAUCCACCCCUGUGCACACACACGGUGGCGAGCUGGGUAACGGCUCGCCGCUGAUCUUUACACACGUCUAAAACUCAUUGUAUGUUUAUUUGAGAUAAAAACACAACUUUCAGCAACGGAUCUCUUGGCUCUC